Molecule: transfer RNA, 71 nt
Filed under: Nanobdellota archaeon
Lineage: Archaea; Nanobdellati; Nanobdellota
Also listed under: 1 other name
Description: tRNA-His
Rfam family: tRNA
About the family: Transfer RNA (tRNA) molecules are approximately 80 nucleotides in length. Their secondary structure includes four short double-helical elements and three loops (D, anti-codon, and T loops).
Source: RNAcentral
GCGGUUGUAGUAUAAUGGCAGUACGUGCGGUUGUGGUCCGCAAGACGAGAGUUCGAUUCUCUCCUUCCGCC